RNAcentral lists this ribosomal RNA (467 nucleotides) under uncultured bacterium. Its description in RNAcentral is "partial 16S ribosomal RNA". It matches the Rfam family "Bacterial small subunit ribosomal RNA", at positions 28 to 507 of the family's 1533-position model. The record is from RNAcentral.
GACGAACGCUGGCGGCGUGCUUAACACAUGCAAGUCGAACGAUGACGACCGAGCUUGCUCGGUCUGAUUAGUGGCGAACGGGUGAGUAACACGUGAGCAACCUGCCCUUCACUCUGGGAUAACCUCGGGAAAUCUGGGCUAAUACCGGAUAUGAGCUCCUGUUGCAUGGCGGGUGUUGGAAAGUUUUUCGGUGAAGGAUGGGCUCGCGGCUUAUCAGUUUGUUGGUGGGGUAGUGGCUCACCAAGGCUAUGACGGGUAGCCGGCCUGAGGGGGCGACCGGCCACACUGGGACUGAGACACGGCCCAGACUCCUACGGGAGGCAGCAGUGGGGAAUAUUGCACAAUGGGCGAAAGCCUGAUGCAGCGACGCCGCGUGAGGGAUGACGGCCUUCGGGUUGUAAACCGCUUUCAGCAGGGAAGAAGCGAAAGUGACGGUACCGGCAGAAGAAGCGCCGGCUAACUACGUG